Molecule: long non-coding RNA, 205 nt
Filed under: Prunus persica (peach)
Lineage: Eukaryota; Viridiplantae; Streptophyta; Magnoliopsida; Rosales; Rosaceae
Description: long non-coding RNA (PPER_LNC007735)
Source: RNAcentral
AAUUUUUCACCACACGCGUGGUUCUUCAUAAAUAUAUAAUAUAUCACUUUUAAAUUAAUUUUUUAACACGAUAGUAAGAAAAUUGAAAAAAAAUUAAAGGAUAAAUUGAAGGAAACAAGUCAAUAUAUUUAAGGGGGCCUAUAUUUAAUAAGGGUAAGCUUGGAAAAUAAAAGUUAGCAUGUCUCAAGUAUUAAUGACAUUGUUU